ACCAAUCAAACACGUUCCACCUUUUUGCCGUGAAACGUGUUUGAUUGGGCA
This 51-nucleotide microRNA precursor is filed under the name Oreochromis niloticus (Nile tilapia). Its description in RNAcentral is "microRNA oni-mir-10683 precursor". The record is from miRBase by way of RNAcentral. Lineage: Eukaryota; Metazoa; Chordata; Actinopteri; Cichliformes; Cichlidae.